UCGCGGCCGACGCCUCAGCCAAUCCGCGUGCUGCAUCCCGACCCCGCGAGCACCCGCGCCCAGACUCCGCCCCCACGCCCGAAUCCUGACCCACCCGGCCCUGAAGCUCAGGCGUGACCCGAGCCGGGGGAGGCGAGACUGGCGCGCGCGUAGGAGCAUGUUUUUGGCCCAGAGGAGACUUUGCUCCCUUGAAAGUAGAGCAAAAUUCCUGAAGACAAUUUAUUCUUCAAAAAUCCUCGGACUCCCUACUUCUGCUAAAAUGUCUUUGAAAAUCACCAAUGCAAAACGAAUUGAAGGCCUUGAUAGUAAUGUGUGGAUUGAAUUUACCAAGUUGGCCGCAGACCCCUCUGUUGUGAAUCUUGGCCAAGGCCUUCCAGAUAUAUCCCCUCCUGUAUAUGUAAAGGAAGAAUUAUCAAAGAUUGCAGCAAUCGAUAGUCUGAACCAGUAUACACGAGGCUUUGGUCAUCCAUCGCUUGUGAAAGCUCUAUCCUGCUUAUAUGAAAAAAUUUAUCAAAAGCAAAUCAAUCCAAAUAAAGAAAUCCUUGUGACAGUAGGAGCAUAUGGAUCUCUUUUUAAUACCAUUCAAGGAUUAAUUGAUGAGGGAGAUGAAGUCAUAGUAAUAGUACCUUUCUAUGACUGCUAUGAGUCCAUGGUGAGAAUGGCUGGAGCAACACCUGUUUUUAUUCCCCUAAGACCUAAACCUGUCGAUGGGAAAAAAUGGUCUAGUUCUGACUGGACAUUGGAUCCUCAAGAACUGGCAAGUAAGUUUAACUCCAAAACCAAAGCGAUUAUACUGAAUACUCCACAUAACCCCAUUGGCAAGGUAUAUACCAAAGAAGAACUCCAAGUAAUUGCUGACCUUUGCAUCAAAUAUGACACACUCUGCAUCAGUGAUGAGGUUUAUGAAUGGCUUGUAUAUACUGGAAAUAAACAUGUAAAAAUAGCUACUUUUCCAGGUAUGUGGGAGAGAACAAUAACGAUAGGAAGUGCCGGAAAGACUUUCAGUGUAACUGGCUGGAAGCUUGGCUGGUCCAUUGGUCCUAAUCAUUUGAUAAAACAUUUACAGACAGUUCAACAAAACACUGUUUAUACUUGUGCUACACCUUUACAGGAAGCCUUGGCUCAAGCUUUUUGGAUUGACAUCAAGCGCAUGGAUGACCCAGAGUGUUACUUUAAUUCUUUGCCAAAAGAGUUAGAAGUAAAAAGAGAUCGGAUGAUACAUUUACUUGAAAGUCUUGGCCUAAAACCCAUAGUUCCUGAUGGGGGAUACUUCAUCAUUGCUGAUGUGUCUUCGCUAGGUUUGUAAGGGUUUUUAUUAUUUCAAAUAUAUGGAAACUUAUGUGUGAAAUUACAUCAGAAUUAGGGAGUAAAGAUUGCUGUCAAAGCCAUAUCAGCAUUUUGUCUAUGGAAAAAUGGCUUUUCGUUAUGUCUGUUUUUGUUUUGUUUUGUUUUAUAUAAUCAUUUUGACUUUAGGUCCCUGACCUUAAAUGCAACUGUUAUUAACAUGGUUACAGGUAUUCCAUUAAACAUCGAAUUUGCUAUCAUCUUGUUCUAGUGUGUAGUUUGAAAUACAGGUACGUGAAAUAAUAUACAUACCCUGUGUUCCUUUGAGUAAAAUUUUCGUUUCCUUUUUACUGAAGAAAAAGGUGGUUUCUAAAAGGUUGAUGCUAUCGGGGAAUAUUAAAAUGCUAUUUUAGAAUUUACUGAAAUGAAGUAAAGAAGAAAAAUAAUAUUUAUUGAGAGGCUACUACAUGCCUAGCACUUCCACACACCCUUUUGAAGAAGGUGUUGUUAGCUCCAUUUUUAAAGAUGUGAACACUUAGAAAGCUUUAAGUAACUUGCUGAAGUCACAUAGCUACAUUCCACGUAGUUUUGUCUCCAAAAAGCAAUGGUUUUUAUAUUACCUGAAGCUGUUGUAUGUAGUUCUGACAUGCCAUACAAAUCUAAAAUUAGAAGCAUGGUAACAUUUUGUAUAUAACUUAUUUUCUUAAAAAAAAAUUAUGAUGUUAAUGAAACAGUGAUUAUUAUUUCUUCAUUUGUUGUGAGAGAUGGAGAGACCUUGGUGCCCAGAGGUUUUUGCUGUCCUUUUGCCUGAAAGCUGGAUGCAGACCUCUCUGAUAUGAAGGACAGCAAUGAACCUUAUGACUAUAAAUUUGUGAAAUGGAUGACUAAAAAUAAGAAACUGUCAGCCAUUCCAGUUUCCGCAUUCUGUAACACAGAGACCAAAUUACAGUUUGAGAAGUUUGUGCGAUUUUGCUUCAUUAAAAAAGACAGUACACUGGAUGCUGCUGAAGAAAUCAUUAAGGGAUGGAAUAGACAGAAGUCUUGAUACAUGCAGACUGUUUCUACUAGAUGACCGAAUAUGGAAUUAUUUAGUGCUGCCAUCUGCUGGAUAUUGAAAAACAAAUAUUUCAGUACAAAUGAAAUUUGAAGAAAAUUUUCCAAAUGUUAACCCUACCGGGUUGUUUUGUUUGUUUUGUUUUUCAGUUGAAAUGUAUGAAAACACCUUCCAUAACCAUUUUAUGAGGAGUAUAGCAUUUGGCUUAAGAAUUGUGAGAAGCUGGUUGGUGUUUAACCUCUCAUUGCUUCAGUUUCCUCAUCAUAAAAGGGGAAUAAAAUAUAGCACCUACUUUAGGAUGCCUGGCUGGCUCGGUUGGUAGAGCAUGCGACUCUUGAUCUUGGGGUCAUGAGUUUGAGCCCCAUGUUGGGCAUGGAGCCUGUGCCAAAAAAACCCCAAAACAACAGCACUUAUUUUAGAUGAAGUUUUUGAGGAUAAAAUAGAUUGAUAUAUGUAAAGCCUCAAUAAACACUCAACUAAUGUUAGCCGGUUUCAUGACUCCACCUUGUAUAAAAACUCUUAGCCAGUUAUACCCCCUCAACUCCAUGUCCUUGGUUUAUCUACCCACACGUAGUUCUCUCCCUUUCAUUUACCAGUGGCUUUGAACUUUGCUCACAAUUUUGCUUCUCUGUCACAAAUACUGCCAUCAUCUGGAGUGGCUUCAAGGUUCACAGGGAUUGCCUAGGCCUUCAGCACUUUGACCUACUCACCUUUAGUGAUGUUCACCUUCACUCCACACUCCAGCCACUUACCCUCUUGGACACACCCUGAACCUUUCAUCAUCUAAAGCUGCGCCACCUUUGAGAUAAUAAGUUAGUCAUCUCACACUGUAACCACCUAUCCUAAUAGUAUUCUCUCUGUGUGUCUCGUCUGCUCUUAAAAAUACCACUUUUUAAAACUCACUAUAAUUUUAAAUCCACUAUUUCUCAAAAAGAAAAAAAGGGUUUAUGGCACUCUUAUAGCAGAAUCGCAAUCAAUCUAUGAGAAUAGAUUUCUGAUCUUUACUCUAGACCUGCUGAAAAUAAUUUCAGGAUCUGGCCUUUCCAAGCUGAUUUUUAUACCCACUGGAUUUUGAUAAUCAUUGCUGUAGUCCACGGAGCCUUUAAUUCCUAUUGGUUGGUCCCCUUAUAUCUUCCUCACCCAGCUUAGAUUUCAUCAUCUGUCACUUCAGCCAAGAUACCCUUGCUGCCUUAAAUAACUUGCCCAUUAUUCUAUCUCACCUAUCCAGCCAAAAAAC
Molecule: RNA transcript, 3575 nt
Organism: Lynx canadensis (Canada lynx)
Lineage: Eukaryota; Metazoa; Chordata; Mammalia; Carnivora; Felidae
Gene: KYAT3
Gene name: kynurenine aminotransferase 3
Exons: 14
Source: RefSeq, a predicted model, not a curated record